RNAcentral lists this ribosomal RNA (466 nucleotides) under Klebsiella pneumoniae. RNAcentral describes it as "bacterial SSU rRNA". It matches the Rfam family "Bacterial small subunit ribosomal RNA", at positions 338 to 796 of the family's 1533-position model. The record is from RNAcentral. Lineage: Bacteria; Pseudomonadati; Pseudomonadota; Gammaproteobacteria; Enterobacterales; Enterobacteriaceae.
CCUACGGGUGGCAGCAGGUAAGAAUAUUCCGCAAUGGGGGGAACCCUGACGGAGCGACGCCGCGUGAACGAAGAAGGCCGGAAGGUUGUAAAGUUCUUUUCUGUCCGAGGAAUAAGUGUAGGAGGAAAUGCCUGCAUGGUGACGGUAGGGCAGGAAUAAGCACCGGCUAAUUACGUGCCAGCAGCCGCGGUAACACGUAAGGUGCGAGCGUUGUUCGGAAUUAUUGGGCGUAAAGGGCAUGCAGGCGGGUCGCCAAGCUUGGUAAGAAAUACCGGGGCUCAACUCCGGAGCUAUAUUGAGAACUGGCGAGCUGGAGUUGCCGAAGGGUAUCCGGAAUUCCGCGUGAAGGGGUGAAAUCUGUAGAUAUGCGGAAGAACACCGAUGGCGAAGGCAGGAUACCGGCGGACGACUGACGCUGAGGUGCGAAGGUGCGGGGAGCAAACAGGAUUAGAUACCCUAGUAGUCC